CUGUGUGUAAGAAUUCCAACUGCACAGCCCUGCACUUUGGCUGUUUGUAAUGAAAAGGGUUGGGAUGAGUCAGGGAGAGCAAGUGUGGGGGCAGUUUCUAGGGCUGUUUUUAAGGAACUGAAAGGAGUGGUGAAAGGAUUUAGGAUCUGUGGGGUGCUUUUGUGAGUUUAUAUAAUGGUUUAGUCAGGGUGGUAAAACUAGGUAUCCAAAGGCGGAAGUACCUAACCAUGCCUAGGAAGGAAAGGAGUUGUUGUUUUGUAGAAGGGAUUGGGGUUUGGGAGAUUAGCCAGACACGAUCAGCAGGGAGAGCAUGUGUGUUUUCAUGAGAAUUAUGCCAAGAUAGGUAACAGAUGAGGAAGAAAUUUGGGCUUGACUGAAGUAAUGGGGGCCGUCUGUGAAGCCUUGUGGCAGUACACCCAGCUGUUGUAAAAAGGAUUGAGUUCUUGAUUGAUUCCCAGCUUGGUCAUUGGUGUAUAGCAGUGCUACUGAUUUGUUUACAUUCAUUUUGUAACCUGAGACUUUACUGAAUUCGUGUAUCAGAUCUAGGAGCCUUUUGGUUCUUCAUCGGGUAAUUGAGCUGAUAUCAGGUGUCUGAAGGAGGCAAGUUUUGAAGAUGUGGGUCAUGAUGGCUGCUGAAGCUUCCACUCCAUAUUUGAAGGUCAGCAGUUCUCAGGAAACCUCUAGCACUUCCAUCCCUGGUGGGAUGUGAUGCCUGUCUCAGUGUAACAUCAGAGAAGGGGUGUACUCUGUGCCCUAGAACUAGGAGCUAACAGAGAAAAACCAAAUGUGAUGUGGAGUCUGCUAGACAGGCUACUGGAGCAAGAGUGAAGCGAUGAAAGUCUCAUCAUUGGGACAUAUUAGUGUGACAUGCAUAAAGGAAUUUCUUAUUGAGCCCCAGGAAGAAGAAACACUACAUAAGAGCAAAUAAUAAAAUCGGUCAGAUAGACAGAAGAUGGGAGUCAUCAAACCUGUAUCCCUCUUGCCAGACCUAUCAACUGACCAUACGUCAUUCAGGAGGCAGCAGGUGGCUGAAAUCCUGGUGUGAUGUGGCUGGAUCAUGCAUGAUCUGAGGACUCCUGCACAGGUGACUGCAGGAUGAGUACAGAAUUUUUCUAUAAAUAUACUAAAAUACCAAGUAAGCCAGGAGCAGCCACUAGGCAAACACCAAACCUUGCAUUCCUGGCCAAACCUAUCACAGAGCUCAUCAGGUAAGUUCAAAGACACACCUGUCUUCCCAGCAUUGGGAACUGGAUUGGGGUCUACUCAGAGGCAUGAUGUUGACCAGAUUUUAUGAAACACCCAAGAAUGUAGAGAACAUUCUGUCUUUAAAACCUUGAAUUCAAAACAUAUCAGAGAGAGAUUUACUUCCCUUAUAUGGAUGUCUGUGUUCUCAUUAGGAGAGAAACAAUGAAAAAUGACUUUUCACAAUGCCUGCCUUAGCCGUGAGGCUCAGCCAACCCCCACUUCUAUGUCUCAGCAUUUAAAGGGCAAUUGAAGUCCCACUCCAUGCUAUAUACUCUCAAGAGGUUUUCUCAUUUACCCUUCAGAACAGCUCUGUAAAGAUGGUAUGGUCAGUCCCAUUUCACAGAUGACUAAGCUCAGGCUCACAGAGCCUAAGUCACCCCUCCAGGUAAGUGGCAGGGUUGGAAUGAGGUUCUAUUCCUCACCCUCCCUAGAGAACCCUGAGCAGCUUCCGUUUUAGAAGAUGGGUUUCCAGGGCUUGAGAAAUGGUCAGAUUCCCCCCUGAUAUUGUGGCCCCACAGGUCCUCACUCCACAACCCCUCUGGGUGAUGAGGAAGACAGAAGAGGUGAAAUCCUGCGCUUUGUGCCAUGAGAUCUGGGUGUAGGGCCACAGGAGUUAGCUAAUCCUUGAAGUGGUGAGUGGGCUCAGGCAGAAGCUCAAGUGUUGGCCUUGGGACAGGUGAGCUGGAGAGAAGGAAAGUAACAUGCACUGAACCACUGUAAGCAAAUGCAAUUUACAGCUCAUCUCCUUUAAUCCUAACAACCAUUUAAGAUACUCAUCAUUCUGACCAUUAUUCAGAUCAGUGUGCUGUCUUUAGGGGAGUUUAUGUAAGUCAGGGAAACAACCUAGUUGUCCUGUGAUCAUCAGCUAACUCUGGAAUACUCCAAAGUUGUAUCAUUUUCUCUUGAUGUCUCCAGGGCUCUGAAUGUUCUAAUCUCCCUGCAGGCUGAUAGCGCCUGCUCCUCAUGGUGUUAUUCAACAUUUUUUCUUUUUAAAUUAUGACCUGUAUAUUUUUGUCACAUUAUUGACAUUUAAAACACUUUCUCAGUAAAAAUAAGGCUAAACAUUUUUUAACUUAAGGGAGAAAACAUUUGCAAACUACAUCUCAGAUACUGGGUUAGUAUCCAUGAUUUGUGAACCACAUUCUGUAACAAAAUGACUGGCAGCUGUUUUCAACAGACAUUCUCAUUAAAAUGUACAUGAACAAUAAACAUGUUAAAAUAUGUCAAAACUGGAAGUACUAAUAAGAUGCAAAUAUAAAUCUUCAAGAGAAUAUUAUGUGGAAGAAAAAAGUUGCAAAAAAAAUUAGUACUGUGAUUCACUUUUGGAACAGAUUGUGUGUUUGCGUGCACCUCACCUACAGGGACACAUCUGGAGAGUAUGCACCAUUCUGUUGACAACAGACCCUUUUGGGUCAGAGGGUAGGCUUCAGGCCAGUGAGAUAUGCAGAUUCAUUUCAAUUUAUAAAUAUACUUUUAUACAUUGUUUGAAAUUUUGUAUUUAGGGAAAAAAGCAUUUCAAUAAAUACUUUUGAAUAGAUUGGCAACAGUAAUUGUAAUGUAUUUCAUUAAUUCGAAAGUACAUUCAUUGUAUUCAAUUUUGUAUUGAGACAAAGUAGAUAAAAAUGGAAUUGAUAAUGUCUAUGUGUGUGAGUGUGUGUGUGUGUGUGUGUGUGUAUCUUCUCUUGCUCUAUCACCCAAAUAAACAUACGUGCAGCUUUACCUUUAAUUCAGACAGGGGAUGGAACCAAUAUCAGUUUUAGAUAUCCCAGAAAAUAGUGGAUACAGAGAGACAGCUACCAUGAGCUGAAUAAUUCCGGAAGACUCCAGCUGAUACCUUCUGGGAGCCAAAUUCCCAAACUCCAUCCCUCUUUCCCUCUUACCGAGGCCCUUGGCUGACAGAGAUGCAAUCCUGUCUCUGGGCACCAGAUGGCAUCGAUCUCUUUAUUUUUUUUUUUUUAAUAAAAAGGAGUAUAUUUUGUAGAGUAACGAAGGACUUAAAAUGGUUUGUUUACCAUGAUCAUAAUUCUGU
This 3274-nucleotide long non-coding RNA is filed under the name Homo sapiens (human). RNAcentral's name for it is "HSALNT0284988". The record is from RNAcentral. Lineage: Eukaryota; Metazoa; Chordata; Mammalia; Primates; Hominidae.